This 220-nucleotide unclassified non-coding RNA is filed under the name Hevea brasiliensis (rubber tree). Lineage: Eukaryota; Viridiplantae; Streptophyta; Magnoliopsida; Malpighiales; Euphorbiaceae. The record is from RNAcentral.
GGGCUGUGAUGAUUGCUUGCUUCCUUUUUGAGCUUUUUUUUCAAUCACGACAUUGAGAAAUCCGACCCGUGUCUUGGUGGGGCAACCUGGUUAAGGCUUUGAAUAGCAAAUUAGUGUCUGCAGCCAUGGCGUUGUCGCUCUUCUCUAUUGCUUGAUUCAAAUAUAGCAAAUCUGAGCCCUCAAUAAUUUGUUUCAUGGUUUUGGAUGGCGAGUCUUCUCU